AGCUCCGCCCCCUAUAGUGAUAUAGAGGUGUAUGCCUGGAGCUCCACCCCCUAUAGUGAUAUAUGGACGGUAUAUAGAGGUGUAUGCCUGGAGCUCCGCCCCCCUGUAGUGAUAUAUGGACGGUAUAUAGAGGUGUAUGCCUGGAGCUCCGCCCCCUGUAGUGAUAUAUGGACGGUAUAUAGAGGUGUAUGCCUGGAGCUCCGCCCCCUGUAGUGAUAUAUGGACGGUAUAUAGAGGUGUAUGCCUGGAGCUCCGCCCCCUGUAGUGAUAUAUGGACGGUAUAUAGAGGUGUAUGCCUGGAGCUCCGCCCCCUGUAGUGAUAUAUGGACAGUAUAUAGAGGUGUAUGCCUGGAGCUCCGCCCCCUGUAGUGAUAUAUGGACGGUAUAUAGAGGUGUAUGCCUGGAGCUCCGCCCCCUGUAGUGAUGUAUGGACGGUAUAUAGAGGUGUAUGCCUGGAGCUCCGCCCCCUGUAGUGAUAUAUGGACGGUAUAUAGAGGUGUAUGCCUGGAGCUCCGCCCCCUGUGGUGAUAUAUGGACGGUAUAUAGAGGUGUAUGCCUGGAGCUCCGCCCCCUGUAGUGAUAUAUGGACGGUAUAUAGAGGUGUAUGCCUGGAGCUCCGCCCCCUGUAGUGAUAUAUGGACGGUAUAUAGAGGUGUAUGCCUGGAGCUCCGCCCCCUGUAGUGAUAUAUGGACGGUAUAUAGAGGUGUAUGCCUGGAGCUCCGCCCCCUGUGGUGAUAUAUGGACGGUAUAUAGAGGUGUAUGCCUGGAGCUCCGCCCCCUGUGGUGAAAUGUAUAGGCUUAGUGCUCCACCAUGUACUGAAUCUCACUU
Long non-coding RNA from Rana temporaria (common frog), 830 nucleotides. RefSeq lists it as uncharacterized. The record is from RefSeq and is a predicted model, not a curated record. The transcript is spliced from 4 exons. Lineage: Eukaryota; Metazoa; Chordata; Amphibia; Anura; Ranidae.